RNAcentral lists this ribosomal RNA (1499 nucleotides) under uncultured bacterium. Its description in RNAcentral is "16S ribosomal RNA". It matches the Rfam family "Bacterial small subunit ribosomal RNA". The record is from RNAcentral.
UUAGAGUUUGAUCCUGGCUCAGAUUGAACGCUGGCGGUAUGCUUAACACAUGCAAGUCGAACGGAAACGAUACUAGCUUGCUAGUAGGCGUCGAGUGGCGGACGGGUGAGUAACGCGUAGGAAUCUGCCUGAUAGUGGGGGAUAGCCCGAAGAAACUCGGAUUAAUACCGCAUAAUCUAUUCGUAGUAAAGUGGGGGACUUUCGAGCCUCACGCUAUCAGAUGAGCCUGCGUAAGAUUAGCUAGUUGGUAGGGUAAAAGCCUACCAAGGCAACGAUCUUUAGCUGGUCUGAGAGGAUGAUCAGCCACAUCGGGACUGAGACACGGCCCGAACUCCUACGGGAGGCAGCAGUGGGGAAUAUUGGACAAUGGGGGCAACCCUGAUCCAGCAAUACCGCGUGUGUGAAGAAGGCCUGAGGGUUGUAAAGCACUUUCAAUUGUGAAGAAAAGCUAACGGUUAAUAACCGUUAGCCUUGACGUUAACUUUAGAAGAAGCACCGGCUAACUCCGUGCCAGCAGCCGCGGUAAUACGGAGGGUGCAAGCGUUAAUCGGAAUUACUGGGCGUAAAGCGUGCGUAGGCGGUUUAUUAAGUCAAAUGUGAAAGCCCCGGGCUUAACCUGGGAACUGCAUUUGAAACUGGUCAACUAGAGUAUGGUAGAGGAAAGUGGAAUUUCUGGUGUAGCGGUGAAAUGCGUAGAUAUCAGAAGGAACAUCAAUGGCGAAGGCAGCUUUCUGGACCAAUACUGACGCUGAGGUACGAAAGCGUGGGUAGCAAACAGGAUUAGAUACCCUGGUAGUCCACGCCGUAAACGAUGAUAACUAGCCGUUGGGGGGAUUUACCCUUUAGUGGCGAAGCUAACGCGUUAAGUUAUCCGCCUGGGGAGUACGGCCGCAAGGCUAAAACUCAAAGGAAUUGACGGGGACCCGCACAAGCGGUGGAGCAUGUGGUUUAAUUCGAUGCAACGCGAAGAACCUUACCUGGUCUUGACAUCCUGCGAACUUUCUAGAAAUAGAUUGGUGCCUUCGGGAACGCAGUGACAGGUGCUGCAUGGCUGUCGUCAGCUCGUGUCGUGAGAUGUUGGGUUAAGUCCCGUAACGAGCGCAACCCCUAUCCUUAUUUGCCAGCACGUCAUGGUGGGAACUAUAAGGAGACUGCCGGUGAUAAACCGGAGGAAGGCGGGGACGACGUCAAGUCAUCAUGGCCCUUACGACCAGGGCUACACACGUGCUACAAUGGGAAGGACAAAGAGCCGCGAAGCCGCGAGGUGUAGCUAAUCUCAGAAACCUUUUCGUAGUCCGGAUUGGAGUCUGCAACUCGACUCCAUGAAGUCGGAAUCGCUAGUAAUCGUAGAUCAGAAUGCUACGGUGAAUACGUUCCCGGGUCUUGUACACACCGCCCGUCAUACCAUGGGAGUGGGUUGCACCAGAAGUGGCUAGUCUGACUUAGUGAGGACGGUCACCACGGUGUGAUUCAUGACUGGGGUAAAGUCGUAACAAGGU